RNAcentral lists this ribosomal RNA (439 nucleotides) under uncultured bacterium. RNAcentral describes it as "partial 16S ribosomal RNA". It matches the Rfam family "Bacterial small subunit ribosomal RNA", at positions 339 to 795 of the family's 1533-position model. The record is from RNAcentral.
CUACGGGACGCUCCAGUGGAGAAUUUUGCGCAAUGGGGGGAACCCUGACGCAGCAAUACCGCGUGAGUGAAGAAGGCCUUUGGGUCGUAAAGCUCUUUUCUGAAGGAAGAUAGUGACGGUACUUCAGGAAUAAGCACCGGCUAACUCCGUGCCAGCAGCCGCGGUAAUACGGAGGGUGCGAGCGUUGUUCGGAUUUACUGGGCGUAAAGGGCACGUAGGCGGCCUGGCAAGUUAAGGGUGAAAUCCCGGGGCUUAACUCCGGAACUGCUCUUAAAACUGCCAAGCUAGAGAUAGUCAGAGGCGGGUGGAAUUCCUGGUGUAGAGGUGAAAUUCGUAGAUAUCAGGAGGAACACCGGUGGCGAAGGCGGCCCGCUGGGGCUAUUCUGACGCUAAGGUGCGAAAGCGUGGGGAGCGAACGGGAUUAGAUACCCCAGUAGUC